UGGACUCCAUACCUCAUAGAUGUGAUUGACUGCUGCAGGUCGCAUUAGAUUCUGGACAACUGGAAAAGCACUGCUAAAAAUAACUUAAAAUUUAUGUGCAAAGAAUUUUAAGAAACCAAGUCAGCUGUUAUCCACUAAUGUAAUCCACAUGAGACUGUGUUAUUA
Pseudophryne corroboree (corroboree frog) is the source of this 165-nucleotide long non-coding RNA. RefSeq lists it as uncharacterized. The transcript has 3 exons. The record is from RefSeq and is a predicted model, not a curated record. NCBI's taxonomy places the organism in Eukaryota, Metazoa, Chordata, Amphibia, Anura, Myobatrachidae.